Molecule: ribosomal RNA, 252 nt
Filed under: uncultured bacterium
Lineage: Bacteria
Description: partial 16S ribosomal RNA
Rfam family: Bacterial small subunit ribosomal RNA
Source: RNAcentral
UACGUAGGUCCCGAGCGUUGUCCGGAUUUAUUGGGCAUAAAGCGAGCGCAGGUGGUUUAUUAAGUCUGGUGUAAAAGGCAGUGGCUCAACCAUUGUAUGCAUUGGAAACUGGUAGACUUGAGUGCAGGAGAGGAGAGUGGAAUUCCAUGUGUAGCGGUGAAAUGCGUAGAUAUAUGGAGGAACACCGGUGGCGAAAGCGGCUCUCUGGCCUGUAACUGACACUGAGGCUCGAAAGCGUGGGGAGUAAACAGG